Non-coding RNA from Pelobates cultripes (western spadefoot toad), 343 nucleotides. Lineage: Eukaryota; Metazoa; Chordata; Amphibia; Anura; Pelobatidae. The record is from the annotation of a GenBank genome assembly.
CUGAUGAUACUAAGAUAUGUAACAGGGUUGAUGGUCCAGGAGGGAUAAGCCAAAUGGCAAAUGAUUUAGGUAAACUAGAAAAAUGGUCAGUUGUGGCAGCUGACAUUUAAUGUGGACAAGUGCAAGAUAAUGCAUCUUGGGCAUAAAAACCCAAGGGCAGAGAACAGAAUAUUUGAUAAUGUCCUAACCUCAACAUCUGAGGAAAAGGAUUUAGGGGUAUUGUACGCAGUACUGGAGACCGUAUCUCCAGAAGGAUAUUGAUACUUUGGAGAGAGUUCAGAGAAGGGCUAUUAAACUGGUUCAUGGAUUGCAGGAUAAAACUUACAAGGAAAGUGUAGCGGAU